UACGAAGGGGGCUAGCGUUGCUCGGAAUCACUGGGCGCAAAGCGCACGUAGGCGGCUUCUUAAGUCAGGGGUGAAAUCCUGGAGCUCAACUCCAGAACUGCCUUUGAUACUGAGGAGCUUGAGUCCGGGAGAGGUGAGUGGAACUCCGAGUGUAGAGGUGAAAUUCGUAGAUAUUCGGAAGAACACCAGUGGCGAAGGCGGCUCACUGGCCCGGUACUGACGCUGAGGUGCGAAAGCGUGGGGAGCAAACAGG
RNAcentral lists this ribosomal RNA (253 nucleotides) under uncultured bacterium. RNAcentral describes it as "partial 16S ribosomal RNA". It matches the Rfam family "Bacterial small subunit ribosomal RNA", at positions 524 to 776 of the family's 1533-position model. The record is from RNAcentral.